Molecule: long non-coding RNA, 1627 nt
Organism: Rhinopithecus roxellana (golden snub-nosed monkey)
Lineage: Eukaryota; Metazoa; Chordata; Mammalia; Primates; Cercopithecidae
Exons: 3
Source: RefSeq, a predicted model, not a curated record
GGGAUCUGGCUGGCGGGCGCUUUGUCUCGCCUUCGCCACCUUAGGCUCUUUCUGUUAGUCUCCGCUGCUACUUCUUGGCUCUGGGAGGCCCGGUGGCUCUGCAGCAGCCUCGGCCACCCUGUGACCUGCGCCAGGAUACCCGGGAAGCCGAGGAACGGACUCCGUGGCUUUCGAGGAUGUGACUGUGAACUUUACCCAGCAGGAAUGGGCUUUGCUCAGAAGAAUCUCUACAGAGAAGUGAUGCAGGAAACCUGCAGGAACUGGCUUCUGUAGAAAUCAUAUGGUACAGAGACUGCGUGAAAGCAAAGAAGGUAGUCAGUAUGGACAAGUUGUCAGCCACAUUCCAAAUCUUGAUCUGAAUGAGAACAUUUCUACUGGAUUAAAACAAUGUGAACGCAGUAUUUGUGGAAAAGUCUUUGUACAUCAUUCCCUCCUUAAUAAGCACAUCCUAGCUCACUCAGGAUACAAACCAUAUGGAAAGAAGCAAUAUAAAUGUGAACAGUGUGGGAAAUUCUUCGUUUCUGUUCCAGGUGUUAGAAGACACAUGAUAAUGCACAGUGGAAAUCCAGCUUAUAAAUGUAUGAUAUGUGGGAAAGCUUUUCAUUUUCUCAAUUCAGUUGAAAGACAUCAGAGAACUCACACAGGAUAAAAACCCGAUAAAUGUAAACAAUGUGGUAAAGCGCUCACUGUUUCCAGUUCUUGUCUAAUACAUGGAUGAACUCACGCUGGAGAGAAGCCCUACGAAUGUAAGGAAUGUGGGAAAACACUCAGAUUUUCUUGUUCUUUUAAGAUGCUUGAAAGGACUCACACUGGAGAAAGAUGUACCAAAUGUGAUAAAGCCUUCAGCUGUUCCACUUCCCUUCAUGACCAUGGAAGCAUUCAUACUGGAGAGAGACCCUAAGAAUGGAAACAAUGUGGCAAAGCCUUUAGUCAUUUGAGUUCCUUUUGUAACCAUAGAAAUACUCAUACUGGAGAGAAACCCUAUGAAUGUAAACAAUGUGACCAAGCCUUCAGUCGCCUCAGUUCCCUUCACCUCCACGAAAGAAUUCAUACUGGAGAAAAACCCUAUGAAUGUAAGAGAUACGGUAAAGCCUACACUCGUUCCAGUUACCUUACGCUCCACUAAAGAAGUCAUGAUAUGGAGGUUGGGUGUAGUGACUCAGCCUAUAAUCCCAGCACUUUGGGAGGCCAAGGUGUGUGUAUUGCUUGAGCCCAGGAGUUCAUAACCAGCCCGAAUGAAAACAAUGUGAAACAACCUGGGCAUCGUGGUGAAACCCUGUCUCUAGAAAAAAUAAAAUAAUGCCAGGCCCGGUGGCUCACGCCAGCUACUCGGGAGGCUGAGGCAGGAGAAUGGCGUGAACCCGGGAGGCAGAGCUUGCAGUGAGCCGAGAUCGCACCACUGCACGCCAGCCUGGACGACAGAGCGAGACUCUGUCUCAAAACAAAAACAAAGAAAAUAAUUAGCUGGGCAUGGUGGCACAUUUCAGUUGUCUUAGUUCUUUUUCAAGGACAUAAAAGGCCACGGGGGGUUGGGGGGAAGCCCUGUGCAUGCGGAUCAUGAGGUCAGGAGAUCGCGACCAUCCUGGCCAACAUGGGGAAACCUCGUCUCUACUAAAAAUACAAAAAU